AGUGAACGCUGGCGGUAGGCCUAACACAUGCAAGUCGAACGGCAGCACAGUAAGAGCUUGCUCUUACGGGUGGCGAGUGGCGGACGGGUGAGGAAUACAUCGGAAUCUACUUUUUCGUGGGGGAUAACGUAGGGAAACUUACGCUAAUACCGCAUACGACCUACGGGUGAAAGCAGGGGAUCUUCGGACCUUGCGCGAUUGAAUGAGCCGAUGUCGGAUUAGCUAGUUGGCGGGGUAAAGGCCCACCAAGGCGACGAUCCGUAGCUGGUCUGAGAAGAUGAUCAGCCAAACUGAAACUGAGACACGGUCCAGACUCUUACGGGAGGCAGCAGGGGGGAAUAUUGGACAAUGGGCGAAAGCCUGAUCCAGCCAUCCGGGGUGGGUGAAGAAGGCCUUCGGGUUGUAAAGCCCUUUUGUUGGGAAAGAAAAGAAGCAGGUUAAUACCCCGCUGUUCUGACGGUACCCAAAGAAUAAGCACCGGCUAACUUCGG
RNAcentral lists this ribosomal RNA (491 nucleotides) under uncultured bacterium. RNAcentral describes it as "partial 16S ribosomal RNA". It matches the Rfam family "Bacterial small subunit ribosomal RNA", at positions 29 to 506 of the family's 1533-position model. The record is from RNAcentral.